AGGGCACCACCAGGAGUGGAGCCUGCGGCUUAAUUUGACUCAACACGGGAAAACUCACCCGGCCCGGACACCGUAAGGAUUGACAGAUUGAGAGCUCUUUCUUGAUUCGGUGGUUGGUGGUGCAUGGCCGUUCUUAGUUGGUGGAGCGAUUUGUCUGGUUUACUCCGAUAACGAACGAGACUCUGGCCUACUAAAUAGUGACAGGAUUAUUACUGUCUUGGAUACUUCUUAGAGGGACAAGUGGUUUUCAGCCACACGAAAUUGGGCAAUAACAGGUCUGUGAUGCCCUUAGAUGCCCGGGGCUGCACGCGCGCUACACUGAAGGAAUCAGCGUGCUAAAACCAUUGUCGAAAGGCAUUGGUAAACCCAUUAAAAUCCUACGUGAUUGGGAUCGGGAAUUGCAAUUAUUUCCCUUGAACGAGGAAUUCCCAGUAAGUGUGGGUCAUAAGCUCGCGUUGAUUACGUCCCUGCCCUUUGUACACACCGCCCGUCGCUGCCCGGGACUGAGCCGUUUCGAGA
RNAcentral lists this ribosomal RNA (519 nucleotides) under uncultured eukaryote. RNAcentral describes it as "SSU rRNA". It matches the Rfam family "Eukaryotic small subunit ribosomal RNA", at positions 1161 to 1704 of the family's 1831-position model. The record is from RNAcentral.